This 492-nucleotide ribosomal RNA is filed under the name uncultured bacterium. Its description in RNAcentral is "partial 16S ribosomal RNA". It matches the Rfam family "Bacterial small subunit ribosomal RNA", at positions 29 to 507 of the family's 1533-position model. The record is from RNAcentral.
AGUGAACGCUGGCGGUAGGCCUAACACAUGCAAGUCGAACGGCAGCACAGUAAGAGCUUGCUCUUACGGGUGGCGAGUGGCGGACGGGUGAGGAAGACAUCGGAAUCUACUUUGUCGUGGGGGAUAACGUAGGGAAACUUACGCUAAUACCGCAUACCACCUACGUGUGAAAGCAGUGGAUCUUCUGACCUUGCUCGAAUGGAUUAGCCGAUGUCGGGUUAGCUAGUUGGCGGGGUAAAGGCCCACCAAGGCGACGAUCCGGAGCUGGUCAGAGAGGAUGAUCAGCCACACUGGAACGGGGACCCGGUCCAGCCCCCUACGGGAGGCGGCAGUGGGGAAUAUUGGACAAAGGGCGCAGGCCUGAUCCAGCCAGACCGCGUGGGUGAAGAAGGCCUUCGGGUUGUAAGGCCCUUUUUUUGGGAAAGAAAAGCAGCAGGUUAAUACCCCGCUGUUCUGACGGUACCCAAAGAAUAAGCACCGGCUAACUACGUG